Molecule: non-coding RNA, 273 nt
Organism: Vicia faba (fava bean)
Lineage: Eukaryota; Viridiplantae; Streptophyta; Magnoliopsida; Fabales; Fabaceae
Source: the annotation of a GenBank genome assembly
AUGGCGUAUCGAUGCGGAUCUCUCUCGAGGUCCAUUUUCUCCGCCGCAAGAACAAUUCCAACUCGUUCCUCUCUUCAAAACUCUUCCGCAUCUUCAAUCCGUUCUCAUCUUCUCCACCCUCGUCGCCCCCCUGUCACUGUCCUUAGGAGUUUGGGAAUUCUCGGUUGCACGCAGUCGUUGAUGCCGCUGUAUAACGCAGACGCCGCAGCUCGUCUCACUUCUCACAUUUCUGUUGAUUUUCGCGCUUGCUGUGAAUUGUCUCAGGGUACUUGA